ACUACGGGAGGCAGCAGUAGGGAAUUUUCGUCAAUGGGCGCAAGCCUGAACGAGCAAUGCCGCGUGAACGAGGAAGGUCUUCGGAUCGUAAAGUUCUGUUGAAGGGGAAAAAGAGCGGAGAGAGGAAAUGCUUUCUGAUUGAUAUUACCCUUCGAGGAAGUCACGGCUAACUACGUGCCAGCAGCCGCGGUAAUACGUAGGUGGCGAGCGUUAUCCGGAAUGAUUGGGCGUAAAGGGUGCGUAGGCGGCCUGCUAAGUCCGGAGGGAAAGGUACGGGCUCAACCGGUACAGGCUCUGGGAACUGGCGGGCUAGAGGGCAGGAGAGGGCGGUGGAACUGCAUGUGUAGCGGUAAAAUGCG
RNAcentral lists this ribosomal RNA (359 nucleotides) under uncultured bacterium. Its description in RNAcentral is "partial 16S ribosomal RNA". It matches the Rfam family "Bacterial small subunit ribosomal RNA", at positions 338 to 690 of the family's 1533-position model. The record is from RNAcentral.